RNAcentral lists this non-coding RNA (29 nucleotides) under Homo sapiens (human). Lineage: Eukaryota; Metazoa; Chordata; Mammalia; Primates; Hominidae. The record is from RNAcentral.
UACAAACAUGGAGGAAUGGCCACGUUGGA